This is a long non-coding RNA of Erpetoichthys calabaricus (reedfish), 382 nucleotides long. RefSeq lists it as uncharacterized. The record is from RefSeq and is a predicted model, not a curated record. Lineage: Eukaryota; Metazoa; Chordata; Cladistia; Polypteriformes; Polypteridae. The transcript has 4 exons.
GCCAGGUAUGGACUGUUUAAGGCGCUAUAUACGGUAGAAGCAAAUCCGGUCAGUCGGCCCGCCUGCCCUCAGCUGCCAACCUGGACGGCCAUCUUUGCUCUUUUUUGAUUUCUUUCCUGCAGUUCUCUCACUCAGCAAGCCAAGGAGUUGGUCAGCCAGCUGAAAGACCACCAAGGGGCUGAAGGCUUCAAGCAGGACUGGAAGGUUGUGGUCAUCUUUGUCGGACUGGUGGGCAGCGAGGCACAGAUCCCAUUGGAGGACGCCAAGGCGCAGGUGGAUGAGGCACUGGGGGUCCUGCAUGACCAGGUGCCCAGAGCCCUGGUGAAGCUGGUCCUGGAACAGAGCGAAUGUCCUGAUGGCACACACUGGGAAUGGCAGAGGU